This 253-nucleotide ribosomal RNA is filed under the name uncultured bacterium. RNAcentral describes it as "partial 16S ribosomal RNA". It matches the Rfam family "Bacterial small subunit ribosomal RNA", at positions 524 to 776 of the family's 1533-position model. The record is from RNAcentral.
UACGUAGGGUGCAAGCGUUGUCCGGAAUUAUUGGGCGUAAAGAGCUUGUAGGCGGUUUGUCGCGUCUGCUGUGAAAUUUCAGGGCUCAACCCCGAACUUGCAGUGGGUACGGGCAGACUAGAGUGUGGUAGGGGAGACUGGAAUUCCUGGUGUAGCGGUGAAAUGCGCAGAUAUCAGGAGGAACACCGAUGGCGAAGGCAGGUCUCUGGGCCACUACUGACGCUGAGAAGCGAAAGCAUGGGGAGCGAACAGG